ACGACGACACCUUUGAACUCAAAAGCUUUUUGAGUUACGUAUACGCCGAGGCAGCUCAAUACAACAAUAAUGUGUAUUCGGUUGCCAGCAUGUGCGAGGCUAUUAACACGAGCCCACCAAACACUCUACUAGACAUCUUCGCAGGUGUGGCUGCUUCUACAGGAAAUAAACCUUGUUAUGGUUCUGAUCAGCUCACAGACAGUGACAGGGCAUGGGGAUGGCAGGGUCUCAUUGUAUGGAUAUUAUUAACUUGAAGCGCAAGGAAGACCCGGAUUGGCUCGUGGAGCAACGUGAGAAAGGAGUUGAGAUCAUUGAAUCUUGGAUAUUCACACCUAUCAGAAUGAUCUUAAGGAUCUUAGAAUAUCGAUUUAAUAUUUCACUGGUUGUAACUUGUAAUAUGAUUAAAAAAAACAUAUGUAAAACAAA
This is a non-coding RNA of Camelina sativa (false flax), 426 nucleotides long. Lineage: Eukaryota; Viridiplantae; Streptophyta; Magnoliopsida; Brassicales; Brassicaceae. The record is from RefSeq and is a predicted model, not a curated record.